This 462-nucleotide ribosomal RNA is filed under the name uncultured bacterium. Its description in RNAcentral is "bacterial SSU rRNA". It matches the Rfam family "Bacterial small subunit ribosomal RNA", at positions 30 to 490 of the family's 1533-position model. The record is from RNAcentral.
AUUGAACGCUGGCGGCAUGCUUUACACAUGCAAGUCGAACGGUAACAGGUCUUUCGGGAUGCUGACGAGUGGCGAACGGGUGAGUAAUGUAUCGGAACGUGCCCAGUAGUGGGGGAUAACUACUCGAAAGAGUGGCUAAUACCGCAUGAGAUCUCUGGAUGAAAGCGGGGGACCGUAAGGCCUCGCGCUACUGGAGCGGCCGAUAUCAGAUUAGGUUGUUGGUGAGGUAAAGGCUCACCAAGCCGACGAUCUGUAGCUGGUCUGAGAGGACGACCAGCCACACUGGGACUGAGACACGGCCCAGACUCCUACGGGAGGCAGCAGUGGGGAAUUUUGGACAAUGGGCGCAAGCCUGAUCCAGCAAUGCCGCGUGCAGGACGAAGGCCUCGGUUGUAAACUGCUUUGUACGGAACGAAAGACCUCUUCUAAUACAGGAGGUCAUGACGGUACCGUAAGAAUAAG